AUAGUGAAAUUAUAUAAAGAAAAUCACCUGUUAAAAUAUACUAAAAUAUCAAGGUCAUUGGUGGCAAGAAAAGUAUCUACAAACUUACAAAGACAAUUGCAUAUUGGAGCCUCAAUAUUUGGUGUGCAAAGAAAUUUUUUGUCAUUAAAAUUUAUGUAUCAAUGACAAAUAAGAAGUGUAGAAGUACAAAAAUAGUUGAUCUCUUGUAUAGGAUGGAUGUGCAAGAUAUAUAUGUCAGAUUCUCAGAAAGUGGUAUCCAGAAUGCUAGACGGUACCUUAUUCUUGCACUUCAGUGAUAUGAAGCCAACUCAAGACGCACUGCAUAUAAUAAUGAUCAAGUAAUUUCCUUUCUCAAAUGAAAAAAGAAAAAAAAA
This 374-nucleotide unclassified non-coding RNA is filed under the name Hevea brasiliensis (rubber tree). Lineage: Eukaryota; Viridiplantae; Streptophyta; Magnoliopsida; Malpighiales; Euphorbiaceae. The record is from RNAcentral.